Long non-coding RNA from Canis lupus familiaris (dog), 980 nucleotides. RefSeq lists it as uncharacterized. The record is from RefSeq and is a predicted model, not a curated record. The transcript has 3 exons. NCBI's taxonomy places the organism in Eukaryota, Metazoa, Chordata, Mammalia, Carnivora, Canidae.
CGAGUGCCCGGCGAGCAGGUCACCUGCCUGCACGCGCCGCCCUGACCUCUGCGACCACCUUAGGACCAGCAAGGGGGCGCCCGGGGGCUCAGGGCGUGACCCCGGGUCAGCAUCGGGCUCCCUGCAUGGGCCUGCUUCUCCCUCGGCCUGUGUCUCUGCCUCUCUCUCUCCCUCUGUGUCUCAUGAAUAAAUAAAUAAAAUCUUAAAAAAUAAUAAUAAUAAGACCAGGAAGGCUCACGCUCGGGACACGCACCCUUAGGCCCCGAUGUCAGCAGCCCCUCCCCGAGCUGGGGGCCACCCUUUGCUCUACCUACAGUGGAGACACUGUCUUGGUAGCCAGCUGCAUCUCAGGACCUGCCCCACGUAGCCUAUCUCAGCAGAGCUGCUGCAAGCCCUGCGGACCCAGAGGCUUCCGUUGAAGGGAACCGACCCAACGCUGUUCCCGUCAGAAUCCCUUACAGAACAGGACAGAUCAAGCCAUCAAGAACCAUUACCCAGCCGAAGUGACAGCACAUCCGCGUACGAAGUUUCGGAAGGAGUCUCUCCACUCAGCCUACAAAGCUUUCCUCUCCUGUUGAUCUUUUCUCAAAAAAGGCUGUUUAUUGGGGUCCCUUUCUCUCCAGCCCAUUUGCUGGAGUAGGGCUUUGCAAAGCCGGUCUCCUAGCAGCCGAGUGCAGAAGGCCCAUUCGUAUUACAAUGGACGGGAAGGAAAGAAAGAGCCUGGUCUGUUUAAACUGCCUCUGUCUUCAUUCACAGCCUGAUGUCCGCCUGCAUUGUGACACCCACAAUGGCACUAAAGGACUCAUUGUGGCCGAAAACAAAUCAAAACAGAAUAAGGGACGCUAAGAUAAAAGAGUCAUGCAGCAAAAUUGCUUAAAAAAUCUAAGUCUUACAUCUGAGAUUUAUGUUACCUUUUGGCUGUGUGGCCUAUUGACCGGUGUUUAUAAUAACCACUAGAGUUUAAUAAACAAAAAGAUAAA